UGAAUACGAGACGCUAAGGCGUCGAAGUAGUAUAUGUCAUACUUCCAAGAAAAGCUUGCACUGUCAUAAGUAAAAAAUGCCUGUACCAUAACCGACACAGGUGGGUAGGUAGAGUAUACUAAGGGGCGCGAGAUAACUCUCUCUAAGGAACUCGGCAAAAUAACUCCGUAACUUCGGGAGAAGGAGUACCUUAUUCUAUAAGGUUGCAAUAACAAGAUCCAAGCAACUGUUUAUCAAAAACACAGGUCUCCGCUAAGUCGUAAGACGAUGUAUGGGGGCUGACGCCUGCCCAGUGCCAGAAGGUUAAAGAAGUCGGUUAGCAUUAGCGAAGCUGGUAACUGAAGCCCUGGUGAACGGCGGCCGUAACUAUAACGGUCCUAAGGUAGCGAAAUUCCUUGUCGGGUAAGUUCCGACCCGCACGAAAGGCGUAAUGAUUUGGAUACUGUCUCGGAGAGGGGCUCGGUGAAAUAGACUUGUCUGUGAAGAUGCGGACUACCUGCACCAGGACAGAAAGACCCUAUGAAGCUUUACUGUAACUUGAAAUUGAAAUUGGACUUUAUUCGCGCAGUAUAGGUGGGAGGUGUUGAUUAUAAUCUUGCGGGAUUAUUGGAGCCAUCAGUGAGAUACCACUCUUGUAAUGUUAGAUUUCUAACUUUGAAUCAUUAUCUGGUCAAAGGACAGUUUCAGGCGGGCAGUUUGACUGGGGCGGUCGCCUCCCAAACGGUAACGGAGGCGUACAAAGGUUUCCUCUGAACGGGUAGAAAUCGUAUCUAGAGUGUAAAGGCAUAAGGAAGCUUGACUGUGAGACCUACAAGUCGAACAGGGACGAAAGUCGGUCUUAGUGAUCUGACGGUACUGAGUGGAAAGGCCGUCACUCAACGGAUAAAAGUUACUCUAGGAUAACAGGCUGAUCUCCCCCAAGAGUUCACAUCGACGGGGAGGUUUGGCACCUCGAUGUCGGCUCAUCGCAUCCUGGGGCGGUAGUACGUCCCAAGGGUUGGGCUGUUCGCCCAUGAAAGCGGUACGCGAGCUGGGUUCAGAACGUCGUGAGACAGUUCGGUCCAUAUCCGGUGUAGGCGUUAGAAUAUUGAGAGGAGCCUUCUUUAGUACGAGAGGACCGAGAAGGACAUACCUCUGGUGUACCAGUUAUCGUGCCAACGGUAAACGCUGGGUAGCUAUGUAUGGAGUGGAUAACCGCUGAAAGCAUCUAAGUGGGAAGCCCACCUCAAGAUAAG
This 1235-nucleotide ribosomal RNA is filed under the name metagenome. RNAcentral's name for it is "bacterial LSU rRNA". It matches the Rfam family "Bacterial large subunit ribosomal RNA", at positions 1564 to 2808 of the family's 2925-position model. The record is from RNAcentral.